AUUUGGUGCUAAGGGCACUUGAUGCAUAAUUUCUUGAAUCGCUCCCAGUAAUCAUAAAGCGACUCCCCUGGGUGCUGCUUGUUACCACAGAUCUCCUUCCUUAGACU
Molecule: small nucleolar RNA, 107 nt
Organism: Coffea arabica (coffee)
Lineage: Eukaryota; Viridiplantae; Streptophyta; Magnoliopsida; Gentianales; Rubiaceae
Source: RefSeq, a predicted model, not a curated record